Long non-coding RNA from Juglans microcarpa x Juglans regia, 428 nucleotides. RefSeq lists it as uncharacterized. The record is from RefSeq and is a predicted model, not a curated record. NCBI's taxonomy places the organism in Eukaryota, Viridiplantae, Streptophyta, Magnoliopsida, Fagales, Juglandaceae. The transcript is spliced from 3 exons.
UGCUGCCGGCUUCUCGCUACCUCGCCAACACCAUUCAGUGUAUCCUUGAUCUUUCAGGUAAGUCCAGUGGCCUGAAUACCUUUGGUUUUAUGUGGUGCAAUGGUGGAUCCAAACAAAGGAGUUGCGAUGUAUGAAUCAGAUGACAUAAUCAAGUAUCUAGUUGGAAAAUAUGGUAUGUUCAGUCAUAUUUACUUACUCCCAAAUGGCCUAUUUCAAUUUUGGUUGUUUUCCAUUGAUAAUCAGUAUGUUGCACAUUAACAAGAGGGGCAUAUAUUACUCGUGUACAACACCAUUUUAUAGCAUCUAUUUUGUUCAAGUACAAACCUUUUUUUUUUUUUUUUUUUAAUUUGUAGAAGAGUAUAUGUUAUAGUGCAAAUGCAUGCAUAUGGACGCAUUAAAUACCUAUGUGGCCUGCAUUUGGAGGCAGA